RNA transcript from Otolemur garnettii (small-eared galago), 661 nucleotides. It is a transcript of the gene named 10 kDa heat shock protein, mitochondrial pseudogene, with no coding region annotated. The transcript has a single exon. The record is from RefSeq and is a predicted model, not a curated record. NCBI's taxonomy places the organism in Eukaryota, Metazoa, Chordata, Mammalia, Primates, Galagidae.
UUAAUUGAGAGCCAGUAGGGAGUUAGGUAUCCAUUUGUAUUAGGUAACAUAAAAGUUAAGGACUUUGCCACAAAAAAAUCUAGACUUGAGUAACCAUGACUAAAUUAGUAUUCAUUUAUCUAAUUCUUCCUCGAAAUCUUUAUGACCAGCCUCACAAUUUAUUUUUGAAAAUAGCUAUAUUCUCCUUGCAGCCGUGCGGCGAGAGUAGGGUGGUGGCUUCGGAGGUGGGAACCAUGGCAGGACAAGCAUUUAGAAAGUUUCUUCCACUCUUCGAUCGAGUAUUGGUGGAAAGGUGUGCAGCCAAAACUGUAACCAAAGGAGAUAUUAUGCUUUCAGAAAAAUCUCAAGGAAAAGUAUUGCAAGCAACAGUAGUGGCUGUUGGGUCAGGCUCUAAAGGAAAGGGUAGAGAGAUUCAACCAGUUAGUGUGAAAGUUGGAGAUAAAGUUCUUCUCCCAGAAUAUGGAGGCACUAAAGUAGUUCUAGAUGACAAGGGCUAUUUCUUAUUUAGAGAUGGUGACAUUCUUGGAAAGUAUGUAGACUGAAAUAAAUCACUAUUGAAAUGGCAUUGACAUGAAGCUGCCCAUCCCACUGAAGUUCUGAAAUCUUGCAUGAUGUAAAUAAUUUCCAUGUCUCUCUUUUAUAAUAAAUUGAUGAUAUCUAA